This 16-nucleotide ribosomal RNA is filed under the name Asterella palmeri. Its description in RNAcentral is "partial 23S ribosomal RNA". Lineage: Eukaryota; Viridiplantae; Streptophyta; Marchantiopsida; Marchantiales; Aytoniaceae. The record is from RNAcentral.
GAUAAGUGCUCUCCUA